AAAGGAAUUGACGGGGGCCCGCACAAGCGGUGGAGCAUGUUGCUUAAUUCGAGGCGACGCGAAGAACCUUACCCAGGUUUGACAUGCUUUCGGCCGGCGUUGAAAGACGCCCUUCCCUCGGGACGGAAGCACAGAUGCUGCAUGGCUGUCGUCAGCUCGUGCCGUGAGGUGUUCGGUUAAGUCCGGCAACGAGCGCAACCCGUGCCGUCAGUUGCCAUCAAGUAAUGUUGGGGACUCUGGCGGGACCGCCCGUGUCAAGCGGGAGGAAGGCGCGGAUGACGUCAAGUCCGUAUGGCUCUUACACCUGGGGCCGCAAACGUGCUACAAUGGCGGGUACAAUGGGCAGCGAGUCCGCGAGGCCGAGCGAACCCCCAAAGCCCGCCCCAGUUCGGAUUGCAGCCUGCAACUCGGCUGCAUGAAGUCGGAAUCGCUAGUAAAGGGACAUCAGCCACGGUCCCUUGAAUACGUUCCCGGGCCUUGUACACACCGCCCGU
This 494-nucleotide ribosomal RNA is filed under the name uncultured bacterium. Its description in RNAcentral is "bacterial SSU rRNA". It matches the Rfam family "Bacterial small subunit ribosomal RNA", at positions 903 to 1397 of the family's 1533-position model. The record is from RNAcentral.